AGAGUUUGAUCCUGGCUCAGAUUGAACGCUGGCGGCAGGCCUAACACAUGCAAGUCGAGCGAAUGAGAAGAGCUUGCUCUUCGAUUCAGCGGCGGACGGGUGAGUAAUGCCUAGGAAUCUGCCUGGUAGUGGGGGACAACGUUUCGAAAGGAACGCUAAUACCGCAUACGUCCUACGGGAGAAAGCAGGGGACCUUCGGGCCUUGCGCUAAUAGAUGAGCCUAAGUCGGAUUAGCUAGUUGGUGGGGUAAAGGCCUACCAAGGCGACGAUCUGUAGCGGGUCUGAGAGGAUGAUCCGCCACACUGGGACUGAGACACGGCCCAGACUCCUACGGGAGGCAGCAGUGGGGAAUAUUGGACAAUGGGGGGAACCCUGAUCCAGCCAUGCCGCGUGUGUGAAGAAGGCCUUUUGGUUGUAAAGCACUUUAAGCGAGGAGGAGGCUACCGAGAUUAAUACUCUUGGAUAGUGGACGUUACUCGCAGAAUAAGCACCGGCUAACUCUGUGCCAGCAGCCGCGGUAAUACAGAGGGUGCAAGCGUUAAUCGGAUUUACUGGGCGUAAAGCGCGCGUAGGUGGCCAAUUAAGUCAAAUGUGAAAUCCCCGAGCUUAACUUGGGAAUUGCAUUCGAUACUGGUUGGCUAGAGUAUGGGAGAGGAUGGUAGAAUUCCAGGUGUAGCGGUGAAAUGCGUAGAGAUCUGGAGGAAUACCGAUGGCGAAGGCAGCCAUCUGGCCUAAUACUGACACUGAGGUGCGAAAGCAUGGGGAGCAAACAGGAUUAGAUACCCUGGUAGUCCAUGCCG
This 800-nucleotide ribosomal RNA is filed under the name uncultured bacterium. RNAcentral's name for it is "bacterial SSU rRNA". It matches the Rfam family "Bacterial small subunit ribosomal RNA", at positions 8 to 802 of the family's 1533-position model. The record is from RNAcentral.